AGAGUUUGAUCAUGGCUCAGAUCGAAUGCUGGCGGCGUGGAUGAGGCAUGCAAGUCGCACGAGAUUGUAGUUUACUGCAAUCUAGUGGCGGAAGGGUUAGUAAUACAUGGGUAACCCACCUUUAACUCUGGGAUAACGGUUGGAAACGACCGCUAAUACCGGAUGUGGUGGUAUAAGGCAUCUUACACUUAUCAAAGCGGAGGAUCUUGAAAGAGACUUCUUGGUUAAAGAGGAGCCCAUGAGAUAUCAGCUUGUUGGUGUGGUAAAGGCGCACCAAGGCUAAGACGUCUAGGCGGGUUGAGAGGUCGAUCGCCAACACUGGGACUGAGACACUGCCCAGACUCCUACGGGAGGCUGCAGUCGAGAAUCAUUCGCAAUGGGCGGAAGCCUGACGAUGCGACGCCGCGUGAACGAAGAAGGCUUUCGGGUCGUAAAGUUCUUCCGCUAGGGAACAAGAGAUAUAGGUUAAUACCCUAUUGAUUUGAGGGUACCUAGUAAAGAAGCACCGGCUAACUCCGUGCCAGCAGCUGCGGUAAUACGGAGGGUGCAAGCAUUGAUCGGAUUUACUGGGCGUAAAGGGCGCGUAGGUGGCAAUGAAAGUUAGAUGUGAAAUUCCGGGACUCACUCCCGGAGCUGCAUUUGAAACUUCAUAGCUUGAGGAUAGGCGGAGAAAGCGGAAUUCCACGUGUAGCGGUGAAAUGCGUAGAUAUGUGGAAGAACACCGGUGGCGAANGCGGCUUUCUAGCUUAUCCCUGACACUGAGGCGCGAAAGCGUGGGGAGCGAACAGGANUAGAUACCCUGGUAGUCCACGCCGUAAACGAUGCAUACUAGAUGUAGCUGGGCUCAACCCUA
RNAcentral lists this ribosomal RNA (853 nucleotides) under uncultured bacterium. RNAcentral describes it as "bacterial SSU rRNA". It matches the Rfam family "Bacterial small subunit ribosomal RNA", at positions 8 to 839 of the family's 1533-position model. The record is from RNAcentral.